CCCUGGUUAUGUCAGUUGGUAGAGCGCUCCACUGGAAAUGGAAAAAUCCCGGGUUCGAACCUCAGACCAGGCG
Molecule: transfer RNA, 73 nt
Filed under: Ixodes scapularis (black-legged tick)
Lineage: Eukaryota; Metazoa; Arthropoda; Arachnida; Ixodida; Ixodidae
Rfam family: tRNA
About the family: Transfer RNA (tRNA) molecules are approximately 80 nucleotides in length. Their secondary structure includes four short double-helical elements and three loops (D, anti-codon, and T loops). Further hydrogen bonds mediate the characteristic L-shaped molecular structure. tRNAs have two regions of fundamental functional importance: the anti-codon, which is responsible for specific mRNA codon recognition, and the 3' end, to which the tRNAs corresponding amino acid is attached (by aminoacyl-tRNA synthetases). tRNAs cope with the degeneracy of the genetic code in two manners: having more than one tRNA (with a specific anti-codon) for a particular amino acid; and 'wobble' base-pairing, i.e. permitting non-standard base-pairing at the 3rd anti-codon position.
Source: Rfam by way of RNAcentral